AUAUCACUGAAUAAACACAACAAAGAAACACAAAAAUAAGAUUCUCUUAAAAAUGCGUGUGUCACCAAGCGCGCGCGAAGAAAGAGUGCAGUUUGGACGCGACAAGUCGGUGAGGUGGAGAUAGUCCCACUGACCCCUUUUUCAUUUCUAGCUCUAGAGACGCGUAUGGCACAUAAUGGAUUGAAGGGAUACUACAAGCUAUAAUGUGGGAGACCGAGAACGAAAUAUUAUUUCAAUUGUGCAAAAUCAUGACGUUACUGAUUAAUGAAUAGUCCAAUAAAAAAAAACACCACAUUCAAAAUUAUAUUUUACCGUAUGAAUGUUUCAUAAAUUAUUUGUGUUAGAUUUGUCAUUAAAUCAACUUUAAAUAUGUUCUAUUGAAUUAUUGCAUUUAAUUUUAUAUUUCAAAUGACGGUUACAAAAGUGAAUUGGCGUGGACGGCUGAAGAGGCCCCCAAGAGUCUAUAUAACCAUAAACAAUAUUUUCAACGAAAGGAAGAACAGAGAGUUCUUUCAUUAUAUAAUAAAUUUUCGUUGAGUCUUUGUAACUAGGUUUUAGUCACCUGGAAAAAACCGCGCAGUACAAACAUCUCUUUUUCGUGCCAUUUAAAAGGAAUAAAAAAAAAGCAAGCUUAAUUAAUUGUGUAUAGUAUUCAUUUAUAUAUCCCACUUCCAAUAUCUUCCGAGACCUGUAGAGGAAAAAUUUUUCGAGACGUUAUUACAGGGAUGAGGUGUAUGGGAGGAACAAUGGAACAUUCUGGAAAAAUCAUCAUUGGGAAGUGGUGAUCAGGCAGUGCGCCUUGGACCGCUGGCGAGUGAACAUCAUAGAAGAAUUGUCUACGACUACCCCUUUAUUUAAACCAAAUAAUUAGUUAGCCAACCACUCUUGUAAUACUCAUGAAUUUAAGUAUACGUUGAAAAGAACUAUUGAUUUAACAUUUUCUUGAACACUCCCGGCGCUAAAAUUUGUGCAUCUUACAGAACAUAGAUUAAAUGUAUACGAGGAAUUAUAUAAACGGUGCAUUCCUGUGAAAAAAAUCAAUUUGUGAAUGUUUGUAAAAGAUCUCUCACCGUUGCUUAUACAAUUAAAAGAACUGAUGAUCUUAAAAUCCCAUGAGUAUUAUUAGAAUGAUGGCAUUUAAAAAACAGAUAAAAAAACUGAGUUUCAGUUUUUCGCGGCUAAUUAUUAUAAUGAACCGAGAAUUUUACAUCGUACAUCACGAAAGACCAAUUAAUGGAAUAUCGGUGAGAGCGGUCUCGUAAGACGUCAAUUGAUCGCUUGAUUGAAAAUCAGGAAAAAACAUCAUCAGCAACUUAUGAACCUCAAGUGAUUUCCAGCGAAUGUGUUAUUAAUAAAGUAUUAUUCUCUGCCAAAUUCGCAGAUAUUACUUUUAAUUAUAAUUUAGUUGGAUAUUGGUAUUGAAGGUGGUCUCCAUUAUAUCAGUAGUUUUGGAACUAUCCUAGAAUAGUAUUCCAGAGAGAGCGAUGACUGCAUGCAGAUUCAAUGAUCCCCAUUUUGAUAGUUGCAUUUUAUUGCCAUUUUUCCUCCCGAAUGAAGCCCUUGUAUUUGGCGGAUUUUUUGACCCUCUAAUUUAAUUGCGAUUGCAAACUAUCUAGAAUCUUUAGAAACGUGAAAAAACUAUGUUUUUUUAUAUCUUAAUAUCAGUGUGUACAUGUUGAAAAAAUUCGCAAUUUUGACGACUAAUUUUGAGAAAAUUCUUCAUGAAUGCGGUAAAAUUUGUAGCAAAAAAUUUAAAUUUUCAACUUCUAAUAGGUAUCAUUAACCUUUACUUUAAUGCGUCAUUUCAUCUCAAUCAGUCCCGUAGGUCCUGAAAUAUAUCAACUAUUGUUAAUUUCGUUUUUCCUCAAUAUCUCAAAAACUACUGGAAAGAUUUCAAUUUUUUAAAAAAUACUCAACUCAGUGGGUUCUAUCUAUAUCGAUGGAAAUAAUCACAUUUUUUCGGAUAAAAUUUCGAGACAUCGCCGGUUUUAGGUUUGAUCAUUGUAAACAUUGACAACAUGGUAAAUUAAUAAAAAGUCGAGAUAGCGAGUUGAAAUUUUGUACACUUGUAGCUCUCAUAACAUCAAAGGCUGUUCUUUUGGACGAGUGCAAUCAGCCGGGCGGUUCCACACUUAUUACACCUUUUGCGUGAAUGUAUUUCCUUUAAUAUCUCAUAAACCACUCAGCAGAUUUCAAUUUUUUCCUCUUUAAAAUGCUCGUCUCAGUGAGCCUUAUACUAAGCUAUGAGAAUAUGUGUACUCGUUGGUACAAAAAUCGAGAGAUAUCACCAUUUUUUUUGUUUUAAUUUCUAGUAUUUUAUACUCAAAAAUCAUAGUUUUUAUUAUACGAAAGAAUCAGACGUCGGAUGAGCGUAAUUCGUCGGGUGGUUGUUACAAAAUUUAUUGUUUUGUCCAAGUUCAUAUUAAAUAUAUAUUUCUAAAGCCCCUGGCGAAUGUCAGUAGCACAACUAACUCUCAUCCCGAAUAUCUACCUUUCCAUUUUCGGAAUGGAAUUGGUGCGAAUCCAUUCGCAAGCAUACUACUAAUCCAAAUGGUAUACCACUUCACUUCUAUAUAAAUGAUGGAAAAUAAAUAAUAACGCGCAAAGUAUCGGUCACAUCACUUCUGUCGAAUAGCACCGGUCGCCUGCUUGUUUUCACUUUAAAAUAACACGGAAAAAGUGCCCCACGGACGGGAAGCCAUACUUGUUCUAGUAGUGGUAGUACCUCCACGAUAUUGGUCACAAAAUGUUUUUGUCGAAAAAUGUGCUAAGUGCAUAGUGUAAUGUAUCGUUGCUUACAAAUAAAACUGGCACUAUCGUUUCUUUGAACAUAAAAUAAAAAAUAAAAGGGGAUACGACGCUCAUAAAUACAUGUCAAUAAACAAAAAGCCGGUAGAGGGGGAUAUUACGCAAGUUGUUCUAAAUUCUUUCCUGUGAAUGAAUGACUUGAUUUAGUCCUAUUAUUAAGGGACCCUAUUAUCCCUAUAGUGGUCCUAUUGGUCCUAUCACCACUUGAUUCGAGAAAUGAAUUGAGGGAGUCUAUUUCAACAGAAAAAAUAUCCAGAGAUAUGGGCAAAAUGAACGUAUUUGGUGCAGUUAUUUUUCACCUAAUCGAAAACCAAUCCACCUGAAUAUCUCCUGAGGAGAGGAAGUGACAGGAAAGAUUUGGGGACAUUGAUUGUAGGGUUCGAGGGGUGUAUUUAAUGCAUUCAUUUUUUUUCAGCUUUCAAGGUCAUGAUUACGAGCUGCAAGCAUAGGGAGCUUUUUUUUAAAAAAAGCAAUCGCAUUUUUCACCCCAAUGAAACUUGUUUAUUUUGAUGAACAGUUUUUAGAUAUCUCAUCAUUUACGUCAAUUCCCGCGUUUCUCCUCAGAAAAUGCGACGAAAAUGAGUUCUCAUAUCAAACUGAAGGUUCAAACUUUCUCAGCAGAAGCCAGGAUGCACCAGGCGAGUGGGUAUGUUGCAAGUCAACGGUGGCAACAUUGACCAACUCGUGACCUCAUUAGCGCUGUAAACGUCCACACAGGUUUGCGCUAUUUUCCUCCUCUUGGUUAAUGCAAGGGAGGCGAGCAGAGUUUACCUCUACGUGGUGCACCCUGGGUUACCUUAAGAAAGUCCCAAUUUCCACUACCGCAACCCAUUUUCGUCAUAUUUUCGGAGUAAAGACACAGGAAUUGGUAUGGAUGAUGAAGUAUUAUUAUUAUUAUUAUUAUUAUCUAUUUUUCUUUGGUGUUACCUUUUUCGGUUUUACACCUCCUCCUUUCUUUCUCCCUAACACUGUGAUCCCUCUUUGUUUUUACCUCCUCUCCCGUUUCUCUUUUACAUUUUUGUUCCCCUUCCCCUGCGGUGCCAUGGGACCAAC
Molecule: long non-coding RNA, 3861 nt
Organism: Diachasmimorpha longicaudata
Lineage: Eukaryota; Metazoa; Arthropoda; Insecta; Hymenoptera; Braconidae
Exons: 2
Source: RefSeq, a predicted model, not a curated record